Long non-coding RNA from Medicago truncatula (barrel medic), 6155 nucleotides. RefSeq lists it as uncharacterized. The transcript is spliced from 2 exons. Lineage: Eukaryota; Viridiplantae; Streptophyta; Magnoliopsida; Fabales; Fabaceae. The record is from RefSeq and is a predicted model, not a curated record.
CUCAAUGUAACAAAUGAGCUUUAUUUAUAGGGAAAUAAAGUAGUUUAUGAACUAAGUUCAAUAACCUAAUAGUAUUAUGACCCACUAACACAUUUGCUAUUUGGACAUCUAUUAUUAAUAUUUAUAACAAAUAAUAUAUAUUUUUGAGUAAAUAAGAGAAUAUCCUCCUUCAAAAAAAAAAAACAGAGAGAGAGAAAUAUCUUGGAUAGUAACCAACUAACCCACACACACACAUUAAGCGUUUUCUAAAAUGUAAAACCCCUAUAAAUAGAGAUCACCAAGCAAAAUUGAAUCCGUACCCUCUCUCUCUCUCUCUCUCUCUACGAAAACAAAACCCAAUUUGUCUCUCAGAAUUAUCGAUUGGCGAUGGCACAGAACAAUUCGACGGCGGUGAUGGAUGUAGAUACCGUCGAAAAAGAGAAGAAAAUGAAAGUAAAAAAGUCGGAGAUGUUAAAGUUGAACAAAUUCAUCUACGAAGUUCUGAAGAAGGUUCACCCUGACAUUGCUAUAUCUGCCGGGGCUGUGGAAUUGAUGAACACUAUCUUAACAGACAUGAUGUUGAAGCUUGCUCAGAAAGCUUCGAAGCAUAACAAAAUACGUCACAAGAAUUCACCACUGGUCGAGCCUGACAUCUCCGCUGCGGUUAGGGAAGUCUUUCCCGAAGAUAUGGCCGGCCUUGCCCUCUUAUCCGCUUUGAAAUCAGUAAUCAGAAUGAAUGUAGAAGACAUCUGUCAUGGAAUCACUAAGAUGUAGAUAUAUAUAUAACUUCUUAUAAUUAAUGGAUUGGAAUACUCACUUAUAUUCCAGUGGAUGUUAUAAUUUUAGUUAUACUCCAAUGCUUGCUUGCUGUAGUUUAUUAUACAAUUGAUGAACCUAACUAACUAUUAUUCUAUUUAUAUUUCAAUGGGAAUAUUAUGGCUGCUUUCGUCUGAUUUUCCAUAGAGUACUAUGUAUGAAUCUGGUGGUGCUUAGACUCCUCAGCUAGGUUCAAUUUACUAAGCACCUGUUUCGAUUGACUUAUUUGAGCUUAUUUGGAUCUUCUCAAUCCCUUUAAUUUUUCUAUGAAAAUUGUAGUAUUGAUGAUACACUGUCUCAAAAUGUGUCCUGAUUCACAUUUCCAUAGUUUCCAUCUUGGGACCUCUAUAGGGUCUGUCAUAUUUAUUUUAGUUAUCACCUGGGUUACAGAGGGUUUUACUUCACUCCCACUCUGCUUCAGACUUCCAGAGGCUGUUUUGAUCUCUGCAAAAUCGUGGGUGCCAUAAAAAAUCAAGCUUUCAGCCAGGUUAGGCCAGCUCCCUCCCUCUCUUUCAAUUUAAUCAACUAUUUAUCGUGCAUUCAACAAUAAAACAGUGCAGGUUUGUUAUUUUGAAUCUUAAUUGUGUUUGUAUUCUAUAUUUUUUCAUCUUAUGAUUGAUUGGCACCCCUGUAACCAUGAGCAUUGAGACAGUAAGUACAGUGUUUGUCUCUUCCCCUUUCCAAGAAAUUUGACAAACAUGAGUUCUCUUCACACGUGAUAAGGACUUCAAACCUUAUUAGGUAUUUUUUACUACCUGUAUAUGCCAUAAAUUUGCAGGUUAGGCCAGCUCCCUCUCUUUGUGGUGCUGCUAGGUAUCAUCCUGUGAGGUUUCAUAUUGGUUUAAGUUCAUGCAUAAUGUUGCAGCUAGUUUUUGGUGUCUUUUUUCAGCUUGGUGUUGUGAAUCGUGCAAUGUUCGGCUGUUUAUAUUGUGCAUAUCAUCUGAUAUUUCUAUUUGCACUUGGCCACUUAAAACCAAAUCAAAAGGUUUUAAUUAUGCAAUAGUCAAUGGCCUGUGAGACAUUUUGGGUUGUUUAUGCGGUGAGUAGGAGUUUGGUGCAGGGACUGAUUUUCUUCAACAUUGCAAAAACUGGCGCUUUACCUGUCGGGUUUGGAAACGAAUGUGUUUAUGGGUUUGCUGUGUUUUCUGCUCCUGCUGCUUCAUGGGGUCUGCUUGGUUUUCGUUUACAUGUGAACAUGUUUUUUAAUCUCUCAAUUUAGUGUCUUUGGAACCUAAGCUUAUUAGUUUUUAUUUUUCUACUUUCUUUAGUAGCAAAGAUGGGGGCAGAACUGAUUGAGUUUCUGUUUAACAUCUGUUGUGGCUUAUUGUUAUUUCAUCAGUUUAGUACCCAUUGACGAUGUGUUGCCGCUGUGUUUGCUCUGCUGCAUUUGUAUAUUAGGACCCGAUCAAUGUGCAACAUUCAUUUGUAGUGCUUAGGUAGGUGUGCGGUGUGUGUCCUGUUGUGUUUAUUAAUCACAAUUUUGAAGGAUUCAAAGAUUUGUGAUGGAAAUGUUAAUUGGUUUUGGAUCUUUGAUUGAUCGCGAAGGGGAACCACGGUUUCCCUACUUAAUUAGCUAUAGAUGUAAAUUUUGCAGAGAAGAGGGAAUACCGUAAGAUUGUAAUAAUAAAAGAAGUAAAAAUCCCAUUUUCCUUAUUAUAAAAGAAGUAAUAACAAACUCAUAUUUCUUCGAUAAUCGAAAUUUCAAUACAUGGAAUGCUAACUUGUGCCCUUAAGGCACAAGUUAGUGAAUCAAAUAUAGAAAUAAUUUAUUGGAAUUUGUGCAUUACAUUUAAUCUUUAACUUUUUAAUGAAUUGAAUGCACAAAAUUUUAAAAAAUAUUUCUUCUUUGGGGUUUCUUAACAUGUGCCCUAAGGGCACAAGUUGGCUCUACCCUAAUAAAAAACAUGGUGAUUAACAUAAAACUAGAUACUUUUUCUAAUGAAUGAGCAACUUGUUUGACUUGUCUCCUUAUAAAAUUAACCUUUCGGCUCGGUUAUACAUUAAUAUAGUGUCUUGAAAUCAUGGGUCUGAACUCAAUUAUAGCUGAAAAACUACUAGUCAUUGCAUCAAUAACCAUACUGUCCGCUCACUCCAUAAACCUAUCCCUUCAGCUUCCUUUGUGAAAGGAUCCCAUUUGCUACUACUAAUCCACCUUCAUCUUUGAUGCAUAAACUGAUAGGAUAUCUAGAAUAAUGAAUAUAAAUGAGGUGGCCGAGCUAGUUCUAGAAGGUAGUAUGACUCAUCUUAAUCUAGAUGGGAUCUUUUAGGCAUAUUCUAUUAGUUAGUUAUUAAGCAGUGCUAUUGUGUAGUUAUUGUAGUUAUCUUAUUACGGGUAUGCACAACAGCACAAGUCUAUAUAAGCAUUGUAUGCCUCAUUAUUAGGAUGAAUGAAAAAUAAUAAUGAAUUUCCUUUCUUUUAUCUCUAGCUUCUACUUCUAAAUUCUGGAGUGUGAUCCCUACUCGAAUUGGGUCGUAUCAUUUCGGCCGAGAUUUCCCCACUGGAGCCACCUGACAGUGCUGCUAUCCCACCACCACUGCCCACCGUAUUAAACAUCUCUCCUACAUUGUUUUCUGGUAGUUGUAUUGAUAUGGUAUCUAGAUUUUGUCAUGGUGAAUUUUUUGGUUUUGUAACUAGGGAAUCAAAUGAAUAUGUGAAAAUUGAGUCCUCACCAAACACCUUUUACACUUUGCUGUAAUGCCAAUCAGACCCACUUUCUUUUGGAAAACAAACCUCUUUCAAAUCUUGUAAAUAUUUGUUCCUAUGUUUGGGAGAUCAUCUUUAGAGUCAUAUCUACUCUCCUUGGAUAAUGUUGUAUCAGUUGAUGUCAAUUUUGAUGGUUUGAAUAAUAGACAUUUUCAAACUACCUUAAUUGGUGUAAGACUAUAAGAAAUGGUAUGUUUUUAUUUUGUUUCAUAUUCGUUUAUUUUGUUUUAGAUAAGACUAUAAGAUCUCAUUAUUUAUAUAAAGUAUUAUGGUUAUUCAAAUUUAUAAUUGUUCUUUUGUACAAAUUCAGGAGUUCGAGAAGAAGAUAAAUGAAAUAUCUAUCUUGAAUUGAGAGACAGAAGCUAAUUAACAUUUUGGGGGGUCAAAUUCAGGGCAGGAAUUAGUGAAUGAUCUCAAGUCAGUUAUCCUUGCACAAUAAGGUAAAUUAAUUUUGAAUGUCUAAUCUUUCUUAGAUGUAUAGUGCAGUGGAAAUUUGGAGUCUUUAGAAUGAAUGAAAAGUAGCUUGCUUUUCUCUUGGUUAGCACCAUUUUUAUUUCGAUUGUCAUAGCCCCAGUAUUAUUACUUGAUUAGUAUUAUUUGUUUGAUGUUAUAGUGAUUUAUAGUGUCUUUCAAGCUAUAAUAUAUUAGUUUUGUUGUUUUUAAAUUACAGACUGAAAUAGUUUCUCCCAAAAAGUAAUAUAAUCUUGCCAGAUUAAUUUUAAAAAUGACAGAUGAACACAAAUUAUGAAAAUCUGAUUCUUCCCACUAUUUCCCUCCCUGUUCAGUUAAUUAUCAUAUCAUAAACACAACUAUUUGGUGAUAGAUUUUAUGCUAAGUUGAAACAAUUAGUUGUAAGUUUUAUGCUAUGACAAAAUUAGGAAUAUUUAAAACAGUCCACAAAAAUAUUAGCCUAUUUGGACAAUACAAAUUAUUGCAGUCAUUAGAUGCUUUUGAAAAUCUAAGAUCCUGUUAAAUGUGUAAAAUAAAUAGUCCACAAAAUUGUCACUUUAGUUUGAUUCUAUUUUACUUGAUAUCUCUUUAUCAAAUAAUUUGUUGUCAUUAGAAUUUAGGAUACCUUUGGAAUAUAUGUUCAUAAUCUAUAUGUUCUUUGUAUGGAUUGGCCUCUAAUUUAUUUUACAAGUGUCAUGAAAUUAAAUUUAUUGAUUUUAGAUUUGAAUAUACUUUAUAUAGAGUUUUUAGGUAGACAAUGAGAAGUUGUAAAAUCAUGAAUUAUAUAUUGGGCUUAAGCAAUGAUGAGAACAAUUGGGCAGGUUUGUGAUCGAUUUUAUUUACUCAACCACGUGACAUUGAUAAUUAUUUAUUUUAGGAAUCUUAUUUUUUCAUUGUCUAUUUUUUCAUUAACUUUUUGUAUAAUUAUAGUCAUAUAAUUCUCUAAAAACUUUACUUCAUUCAACAGAAUUGCAAGGCAUGUUUUGUUAAUUUCAUAACAAGUGAUACUUACUUACACAAAGCUAUAUUUUGCUUUCUUGAUAAAUUUGGUUCGUCCUGUGAAUGAUUGUUGGAGCAGUUAUUUGCAUGGAAUCACAGGGUAUACUAUAUAGUGUUGUGUUUGUGCCUUUUGGUUCUAUUUUUAUGGCGAGGUUGCUUUUCAUGUCCACUUGCCUUUGCUAAUUGCUAUCAGGUUCUGAUCUUAAGUUAGGGGACUAAAGUGCUCAAUAUAAUGGAUUAAUAUUUCACUUGCCUUUGCUAAUAAGGUUUUUUUAUGUUUGAAGGAUUGAUGAUUUAACGGAAAUUGGGUGAUAUAAAACUGUAGGUCAGUACCAAUGUUUGGUUUUUUCAUGUCUUAAUUCAGGUCGGUACCAAUGUGUGUGUCUCUUCGAAUUUUGUUAAAACAACUUAGUUGCAAAUGACCAAUGAAGUUGCGUGGUUGAGUUUUAGAACUCUUGAAUGUGGUUAAGUACAUUGAGUAAUUUCUAUAUGCUGAGAUCUGCAACCAAUGUUUUAAAACUAUGUUUUGUUAGCUUUUAUUCUAUCUCUAAAUCAGCUUUUUGUUUAUUUACUUGACAAUACUUAUGAUAUACUUGAGUAGAAUUAAACAAUAUGUUGCUUUAAUAAUGACUUGGUUUGCCUAUUUUUUUAUUCUUUUAUAUAACAAAAGUAACUCAAAUCCUACAAUAGUAAUAAUGUUUUACUUACAUACCUUGCAAAAUAAUCUCUUUAAUGUUGGUCAGCUUCAGCAGAAGGGUCUGAUUGUUGUGAUUCAGCAACGUAUGUGUAAGGGGGACGAUAUGAGGAUUACCGGUGCUCAAGGAUUCCCGUUAUUUGCACUGGUUGUGUGGUUGGAAAGCGGCACAGGGAAGCUAUUGCAAAGACGAGUUGAGUUCUUGGAGAGUUGCUCAAAGACUUAUAUCUAAACAUAGACAAAUUACUAUUUGACUUAAGACACAUUUUAUGUUUAUCCAUUUUAUUGGGAUAAUUUCAAAAGUACGCCCCCAAAAAAUACGAGGCUUUGAUAAUCUUCCUCCUCAUAGUGUAACUUGAAUAAUUACUAAUGAUAGAGAGACAACUAUUCUUAUGGGUAAACAAAUAAGGCUGACAUCAAUUUGGGUAACCAUAAUUACUUGCUUUUUUUAAUUUAUCUUUGUAACAUAAACAAAAUUAUUAUUUGACUUAAGAAUCACUAUUUGUCUACCCA